GAGUUUGAUCCUGGCUCAGGAUCAACGCUGGCGGCGUGCCUAACACAUGCAAGUCGAACGCGAAAGUGGAGCAAUCCAUGAGUAGAGUGGCAAACGGGUGAGUAACACGUGGGUGACCUGCCUUCGAGCGGGGGAUAACGUCCCGAAAGGGACGCUAAUACCGCAUAACAUCCUGCCUUUUAAGAGGUGGAGAUCAAAGCCGGGGAUCGCAAGACCUGGCACUUGAAGAGGGGCCCGCGCCUGAUUAGCUAGUUGGUGGGGUAAUGGCUCACCAAGGCAACGAUCAGUAUCCGGCCUGAGAGGGCGGACGGACACACUGGGACUGAGACACGGCCCAGACUCCUACGGGAGGCAGCAGUGGGGAAUUGUUCGCAAUGGGCGCAAGCCUGACGACGCAAC
Molecule: ribosomal RNA, 399 nt
Filed under: uncultured bacterium
Lineage: Bacteria
Description: bacterial SSU rRNA
Rfam family: Bacterial small subunit ribosomal RNA
Source: RNAcentral